This 255-nucleotide ribosomal RNA is filed under the name uncultured bacterium. Its description in RNAcentral is "partial 16S ribosomal RNA". It matches the Rfam family "Bacterial small subunit ribosomal RNA", at positions 524 to 776 of the family's 1533-position model. The record is from RNAcentral.
UACGUAGGGUGCGAGCGUUAAUCGGAAUUACUGGGCGUAAAGUGUGCGCAGGCGGCUUCGCAAGUCGAGUGUGAAAUCCCCCGAGCUUAACUUGGGAAUUGCGCUCGAAACUACGGAGCUGGAGUGUGGCAGAGGAAGGUGGAAUUCCACGUGUAGCGGUGAAAUGCGUAGAGAUGUGGAGGAAGCACCGAUGGCGAAGGCAGCCUUCUGGGCCAACACUGACGCUCAUGCACGAAAGCGUGGGGAGCAAACAGG